This 253-nucleotide ribosomal RNA is filed under the name uncultured archaeon. RNAcentral's name for it is "partial 16S ribosomal RNA". It matches the Rfam family "Archaeal small subunit ribosomal RNA", at positions 474 to 727 of the family's 1478-position model. The record is from RNAcentral.
AACCAGCACCUCAAGUGGUCAGGAUGAUUAUUGGGCCUAAAGCAUCCGUAGCCGGUUCUGUUAGUUUUCGGUUAAAUCCAUGUGCUCAACACAUGGGCUGCCGAAAAUACUGCAGGGCUAGGGAGUGGGAGAGGUAGACGGUACUCGAUAGGAAGGGGUAAAAUCCUUUGAUCUAUUGAUGACCACCUGUGGCGAAGGCGGUCUACCAGAACACGUUCGACGGUGAGGGAUGAAAGCUGGGGGAGCAAACCGG